CUUUCAGUCCAGUUCAGUUUCAGUUCGCUUUGGCAGCUCGUCGUGUCAGAGUCUUCCUUCUUCAUCUAAAGCAGGUUGUUGUGUUGGCGUGGACUCGGCUAUGAAUCGGUGUGAGGACAGACAGAAGGGGGUCCGUCCCUCUGACGGGGAUCAUGACGACCAGACCAAAGCUCAGAGGAUCCAUCAGAGACCAGACUGUCCUGAACCUGAACCCAGCUGUGUGUCCAUGAAGAGUGACCAGUCAAUGGGUCAUCCUCAUAACUUCAAAGAUGGACGCCGCUCUUUUGAUCAAAGGAGGACGCUGGAAAACCCUGAAUCCAGCUGUGUGUCCAUGAAGAGUGACCAGUCUAUGGGUCAUCCUCAUAACUUUAAAGAUGGACGCCACUCCGUUGAUCAAAGAGUCGACCAGGAGAGCUCAGAGGUUCCCAGUGUUCAGUCUGCCCAGCAGCAUCAGACACACCUGGACUCCAUGUUUAUGCUGCUGGAGGAGAACAUUGUGACUUUUGUGAAGAACGAGCUGAAGAAGAUCCAGAAGAUUCUGAGUUCAGAUUCCCCAGAAUUCUUAGGGAGUCAGAUGGAGGAUGAGGAGGUGUUGAACAGUGAGGAUGAAGAGCAGAGGAGGAGCAGCAAAGAAGCAUUUCUGAAGAUCACACAGCACUUCCUGAGGAGCAUGAAGGAGGAGGAUCUGGCUGACCGUCUGCAGAGCAGAUAUCCUGUUUCAGUUUGUUUCCAGCAAACACUUAAAUCUAACCUGAAGGAGAAGUUCCAGUGUGUGUUUGAGGGGAUUGCUAAAGCAGGAAACCCAGCCCUUCUGAAUCAGAUCUACACAGAUCUCCACAUCACAGAGGGGGGGACUGGGGAGGUCAAUAAUGAACAUGAGGUCAGACAGAUUGAAACAGCAUCCAGGAAACCAGACAGACCAGAAACAACAAUCAGACAUGAAGACAUCUUUAAGCUCCCACCUGGAAGAGAGGAACCAAUCAGAACAGUGAUGACGAAGGGCGUGGCUGGCAUUGGGAAAACAGUCCUAACACAGAAGUUCACUCUGGACUGGGCCGAAGACAAAGCCAACCAGGACAUACAGCUCACGUUUCCAUUCACCUUCAGAGAGCUGAAUGUGCUCAAAAAGACAAAGUACAGCUUGGUGGACCUUGUUCAUCACUUCUUUCCUGAAGCAAAAGCAGCAGGAAUCUGCAGGUUUGAGGAGUUCCAGGUUGUGUUCAUCUUUGAUGGUCUGGAUGAGUGUCGACUUCCUCUGGACUUCACCAACAAUGAGAUCCUGACUGAUGUUACAAAGUCCACCUCGGUGGAUGUGCUGCUGACAAACCUCAUCAGAGGGAAACUGCUUCCUUCUUCUCGCCUCUGGAUAACCACACGACCUGCAGCAGCCAAUCAGAUCCCUCCUAAAUGUGUUGACAUGGUGACAGAGGUCAGAGGGUUCACUGAUGAACAGAAGGAGGAGUACUUCAGGAAGAGAUUCAGAGACAAGACGCUGGCCAGCAGGAUCAUCUCCCACAUCAAGACAUCACGAAGCCUCCACAUCAUGUGCCACAUCCCGGUCUUCUGCUGGAUCACUGCCACAGUUCUGGAGGAUGUGAUGAAGACCAGGGAGGAAGGAGUGCUGCCCAAGACCCUGACUGAGAUGUACAUCCACUUCCUGGUGGUUCAGUCCAAACUGAAGAUCAUCAAGUAUGAAGGAGGAGCUGAGUCAGACCCACACUGGAAUCCAGAGACCAGUGAGAUGAUUCAGGCUCUGGGAAAACUGGCUUUUGAGCAGCUGCAGAAAGGAAACCUGAUCUUCUACGAACCAGACCUGACAGAGAGUGGCAUCGAUAUCACAGCAGCCUCAGUGUACUCAGGAGUGUUCACACAGAUCUUUAUAGAGGAGAGAGGACUGUACCAGGACAAGGUGUUCUGCUUCAUCCAUCUGAGUGUUCAGGAGUUUCUGGCUGCUCUUCAUGUCCAUCAGACCUUCUUUAAUUCUCGAGUCAAUCUGCUGUCAGAAGGACAGUCAAAGUCCCUGAAGUCUGAAACUAGACAAGAUGAAUCUGCAGAGACACACUUCUACCAGACUGCUGUGGACAAGGCCUUACAGAGUCCAAACGGACACCUGGACUUGUUCCUCCGCUUCCUCCUGGGUCUUUCUCUGCAGACCAAUCAGACUCUUCUAAAAGGUCUGCUGACACAGACAGGAGGUAGCUCACAGACCAAUGAGGAAGCAGUCCAGUACAUCAAAAAGAAGAUCGAGAAGGAUCUGUCUCCAGAGAAAAGCAUCAAUCUGUUCCACUGCCUGAACGAACUGAACGAUCGUUCUUUAGUGGAGCAGAUCCAACAGUCCUUGAGAUCAGGAAGUCUCUCCACAGAUAAACUGUCUCCUGCUCAGUGGUCGGCUCUGGUCUUCAUCUUACUGUCGUCAGAAAGAGAUCUGGAUGUGUUUGACCUGAACAAAUACUCUGCUUCAGAGGAGGCUCUCCUGAGGCUGCUGCCAGUGGUCAAAGCCUCCAACAAAGCUCUACUGAGCGGCUGUAACCUUUCAGAGAGAAGCUGUGAAGCUCUGUCCUCAGUUAUCAGCUUGCCAUCCUGUAGUCUGAGAGAGUUGGACCUGAGUAACAACAACCUGCAGGACUCUGGAGUGAAGCUGCUGUCUGCUGGACUGGAGAGUCCACACUGUACACUGGAGAUUCUCAGGCUGUCGGGCUGUCUGAUCACAGAGGAAAGCUGUGCUUCUCUGGCUUCAGCUCUGAGCUCCAACACCUCCCAUCUGAGAGAGCUGGACCUGAGCUACAAUCAUCCAGGAGACUCAGGAGUGAAGCUGCUGUCUGCUGGACUGGAGGAUCCACACUGGAAACUGGAUUCCCUCAGGGUGGAGCCUGCUGGAGUCCGAUGGUUGAGACCAGGUCUGACGAAGUAUUCCUGUGAACUCGCUCUCGACACAAACACGGUCAACAGAAAGAUGCGCCUGUCGGACGACAACAGGAAGGUGACGCACGUGGAGGAGGAUCAGUCGUAUCCCGAUCAUCCCGACAGGUUCGACUGGUGGUCUCAGCUGCUGACUGGAACUGGUCUGACUGGUCGCUGUUACUGGGAGGUGGAGUGGAGUGGAAAGGUUCAUAUAGCUGUGAGCUACAGGGGGAUCAAACGGAGAGGGAACGGUGACGACUGUGUGUUUGGAAGGAACGACCUGUCCUGGGGCCUGAGCUGCACUGAUGGUGGUUACUACGCCUGGCACAAUAACAAAGGCACACCCAUCCCCUCCUCUUCCUCCUCCCCUUCCUCCCCCUCUAAACGAGUGGGGGUGUAUGUGGACUGUCCUUCUGGCACCCUGUCCUUCUACAGAGUCUCCUCUGCCACACUGAUCCACCUCCACACCUUCAACACCACCUUCACUGAACCUCUGUAUGUUGGGUUUGGCCUCUGGUCCAACUGGUCUGAAUCCUCAGUGUCUCUGUGUCCUCUGUAGGAGGGACGGUCUCGUCCUGUUGGAGCAGGUGCUGAGACCUGAAAUGAUCUUCUUCCCGUUUGGCAACAGCUGCUUCAUUUUAAUAAAACAUGUCAAAAUUGAAAGUGAUGUCAGAAUACCAGCAGCAUCAGUUGUGGGGGCGGCGUUCUUCCGCCAUUGUUGCUGAAGGUUGGAGCACUUUUUCCAUUUGUCAUCAAUUUUCCUACAACUGCCAACAUUGGAAAUCUACACAGCUGCUUUCUCCCCUCAAGUAUUGUCAAAAAGGAAUUUAGUGGUGAAAUAACAUUUGCUCUGUGGGACACAGCGGACCAGUUACACUGGUCUGACUGACUGUCAGCGACUCAGCAGGACGUCCAGGUAUUUGUGCUUUUGUUCGCAUGCUGAAUAUUAACUGCGUCAUUUUGGUCAAAUCAUACAUGCUGCUUGUACAGUAGGUGGUUUUGAAUGUGGACCGGGUCUUGUUUUAUCACGUCUCUAACACUGAAAUAUGCAACACAAGCGUUUCUUUCUUUCUGUCCUGUCACAUCACUACACUGUGUUCUCCAGCUCGUAAAACUAAAACACUUAUAGAAACAGGCAUGUGGUAAACUGACCCCCAACACACACACACACACAUACAUUGACAGAGCACCCUCAUUACUGCAAAUAUCAAUUAGCAGGCAGAUGCUGGAUUCCUCACACAGGUGAUCUGGAGCAGGUUGUACAGUCCUGAGACCCUCCGAGACCUGGACGCUCACAUCGAGCAGUAAAGUGUCUGAUCCAGCUGCACAGCUUUGUGUCUGGAGGAUUUUACAUCCACGAUCUCAAGAUCACAGCUCCUGAUGUCUCCAUUUAAUCACGCUGUGAGGGGGGGGGGGGGGUACCGAUUCGUAAAAACAAUAAAAACUGGUCAACUCACAUUUAAAGUCCUGGUAAUACAUGAAUGCUAAAUAGACAAUGUAGACCCCCACAUAGGAGCCAGACCCCAGACUGAAAGAGGAGCCUUCUUGUGUCUCUUUGGAUUUUCCAGCAGGAAAUGUUGAGCGUGUCCAGAUUCAUACAGGCUGCAGACCUGCGGCCGAAGGACCCCUUCAGUAAUCCAUCAACGACCUGUGACCCUCUGUGGCCCCGCCCCCGGCUGUACAGCUACUCAGAAAUUCUUUCUCCUGACCGAGAGACGUGACACCCCCCGGCCAAUCACAGCUCACUGUCUCCCAUGACCUGCGUGAUGUCAUCAGGAAGGAGGAGCCAGAGACCGACUUCCUGGAAGCAGAAUGUAAACCAACAUGGUGUCUGAAGCGGUGCGUGUGGUGCUGCCUGUUCCAUCAUUCCUCUCACCUCACCUUGUUUACAGCAGAAAGAACGAGACAACCGAGGCAGACGGAGCAGAAGACGAAGAAGAAGAAGGUGAAGAGAAACAGACAGAAGAGCAGCGAGAAAGCAGCUGAAUAAGAAGAGAGUAAGAUAGAAGAAGAGAGGAGAAGCAAAGCAUCAUGGACGUUCUGAAGAAGGGAUUCUCCAUAGCGAAGGAUGGAGUGGUGGCCGCCGCCGAGAAGACGAAGGCCGGAGUGGAGGAGGCCGCUGCCAAGACCAAGGAGGGGGUCUUCUAUGUCGG
Molecule: RNA transcript, 5054 nt
Organism: Chelmon rostratus (copperband butterflyfish)
Lineage: Eukaryota; Metazoa; Chordata; Actinopteri; Chaetodontiformes; Chaetodontidae
Gene name: NLR family CARD domain-containing protein 3-like
Exons: 13
Source: RefSeq, a predicted model, not a curated record